RNAcentral lists this ribosomal RNA (444 nucleotides) under uncultured prokaryote. Its description in RNAcentral is "bacterial SSU rRNA". It matches the Rfam family "Bacterial small subunit ribosomal RNA", at positions 338 to 774 of the family's 1533-position model. The record is from RNAcentral.
CCUACGGGGGGCUGUAGUCGAGGAUCAUUCGCAAUGGGGGAAACCCUGACGAUGCGACGCUGCGUGGAGGAUGAAGGCCUUCGGGUUGUAAACUCCUGUCAUGAGGGAAGAGGAGAGUGUCAUCAAUACUGACGCGAUUUGACGGUACCUCAAGAGGAAGCCACGGCUAACUCUGUGCCAGCAGCCGCGGUAAUACAGAGGUGGCGAGCGUUGUUCGGAUUUACUGGGCGUAAAGGGCGCGUAGGCGGCGAUGUGUGUCGGGUGUGAAAUCCCAGGGCCCAACCCGGGAAGUGCGCCCGAAACUGCAUCGCUAGAGUGCGGGAGUGGAGAUCGGAAUACAUUGUGUAGCGGUGAAAUGCGUUGAUAUCAUGUAGAACACCGGUGGCGAAGGCGGAUCUCUGGAACGCAACUGACGCUGAGGCGCGAAAGUCGGGGGAGCAAACA